This 240-nucleotide ribosomal RNA is filed under the name uncultured bacterium. Its description in RNAcentral is "partial 16S ribosomal RNA". It matches the Rfam family "Bacterial small subunit ribosomal RNA", at positions 796 to 1041 of the family's 1533-position model. RNAcentral also lists the same sequence under 1 other name. The record is from RNAcentral.
CACGCUGUAAACGAUGAUUACUCGUUGUUGGGCAGUGAUGCUCAGUGGCUAAGCGAAAGCGAUAAGUAAUCCACCUGGGGAGUACGAUCGCAAGGUUGAAACUCAAAGGAAUUGACGGGGGCCCGCACAAGCGGAGGAGCAUGUGGUUUAAUUCGAUGAUACGCGAGGAACCUUACCCGGGCUUGAACGUAAGACGAAUAUAUAAGAGAUUAUAUAGCCUUCGGGCGUCUUGCGAGGUGC